Molecule: ribosomal RNA, 301 nt
Filed under: uncultured Pyrobaculum sp.
Lineage: Archaea; Thermoproteati; Thermoproteota; Thermoprotei; Thermoproteales; Thermoproteaceae
Description: bacterial SSU rRNA
Rfam family: Bacterial small subunit ribosomal RNA
Source: RNAcentral
ACCGAGACAGGGUUCAGUAGUAGCGGUCAUACAGGGGGUGGAGUCCGUAACAGGGUUUGUGGUGCGUAACGGUGGUGGAGGUGGCUGGCUAAGGCGAGUGGGAAAUGCAUGGGCUCAACAUGGGGAUUUCCGGCGAUACUGGAGAACUAGAGUUCGGUAGAGGGGGAAGGAAUUCCCGGUGUAGCUGGGAAAUGCGUAGAUAUCGGGAGGAACAUCGAUGGCGAAGGCAAUCACCUGGGCCUGAGCUGACACUGAGACACGAAAGCGUGGGUAGCAAACAGGAUUAGAUACCCUAGUAGUC